CCCUCUAUGAGCCUGAGCGGCACCUGCAGGGGGAGACAAAGAGCACGUGCGUCAGCCUGGCAUCCCGCUGUCAAAGCAAACAGCACAUCUACAGAGAGGAAACCACCCUCUGGUCCAGAAGAGACUCGCUGCAGAGAUAUGAAGGAAGGGUGAUGUCAUAAUCAAGCACAAAACCUUUUAAAAAAAGGUAAGAAAGAUAACUUUAUGUCAUCCUGAUCAAUGCGACUUUAAAUUAAUUAUUAAUAAACAUUGCGUUGUCAUCAGGUGCAGAAUGCUGCCGUCUAGACUGUAGCAGGGGGUGGUGUUUUAUCACACGGUACUCACAGAGAUGUCCGUGUCCACACCUGCCAAGGUCUAAAACACAGUGACACCAUGGAUCACACAGAGAGAAAGAGAGGAAGGAGGAAACACAAGACAGGGGGAGAUGAAAAAAACUAUUAAAACUAAAGUAAAUUAGAAAAGGAAAAUGAAGAGUUAAAAGGAAAAAAAAAAAA
Long non-coding RNA from Oryzias melastigma (Indian medaka), 494 nucleotides. RefSeq lists it as uncharacterized. The transcript has 2 exons. Lineage: Eukaryota; Metazoa; Chordata; Actinopteri; Beloniformes; Adrianichthyidae. The record is from RefSeq and is a predicted model, not a curated record.